RNAcentral lists this non-coding RNA (26 nucleotides) under Rattus norvegicus (Norway rat). Lineage: Eukaryota; Metazoa; Chordata; Mammalia; Rodentia; Muridae. The record is from RNAcentral.
UGGACAUUGGAAACGAUGGCUCGGCC